ACUAAUUUUUUUACAUUUUCUCCUUAAAUUUAAUUUAACAAUGUAAUGCAUAUUAAUCCUAUGUAAAAAGAAGUUUAGAGGAAACAAAAGUUACCCACUACUUAAUAUUCCUUGACGUUUAAGCUAAACCUUCCUUUAUCCUAAAGUCCUAACUAUGUCAUGACUUUAGGGAUAUAGUAAUCCUAUGCGAAUUAAUUUAUGUAAUGAUACCUAUAAUUAUAAAAGCAUCAAUAUGAGCUUUAUAGUGAUCUUUCAAAAUAAAACAUCCGUUGAAUUUUUCAGACUCAAUAGUAAAAGAAAAUUUCGUCUGACCAGAAUUUGAAUAUAUAUCAUCACGACUGAAAAUUAAAUAAAUUUAUCAACGGCUGAACCUAAUCGAAGAAAAUAGUUUGUUCAAAGACCCAAAAAAGUUAUAAAAACAUAACAAAAUAAAUAUUUAAGAGGAUUUGUAAAUUGAUGUGGAAAAUAGUAAAUAAGAAUACCUUGAUUUUUUGUCCAAAAAAUAAAUAAAAAAUACCUUGAUUAUCCGAGUGUUUUCUAAAAAUUGUAUGAAAUUCAAGUGCUAAUUUUAUUAUAUUUUAUCAAAAAAACUGUUAAUCUUAUUAAUAUGAUCAUGCACCAUCGCCUUCCAACUUUCAAAAU
Molecule: small RNA, 642 nt
Filed under: Arabidopsis thaliana (thale cress)
Lineage: Eukaryota; Viridiplantae; Streptophyta; Magnoliopsida; Brassicales; Brassicaceae
Description: ATSL020320
Source: RNAcentral